Molecule: long non-coding RNA, 1763 nt
Organism: Populus trichocarpa (black cottonwood)
Lineage: Eukaryota; Viridiplantae; Streptophyta; Magnoliopsida; Malpighiales; Salicaceae
Exons: 2
Source: RefSeq, a predicted model, not a curated record
AAACACGGUUUUAUUAACAAUGGUAGUAGCGAUUAUUUAAUAAAAUAUCAGGGAUUGGCGUAGACAGAUGAUGACAUGCUAGGAGCCUCUGUUACUAUUAACAAGGAAUAAGCUUCCUCGAGAGUGACCUGAUCUGUUCGUGCAUAAAUGGAGGACACGAAGCUAUCAUAAUUGUGUCCUAGGCCAGCAAGAACAUAGGAUAUGAUGUCAUCAUAGUGGAGUGAUUAACCAGCCACAACAAGCUCAUCAGUUAAUUUCUUGUUAGAUAGAAAGUAUUCAGUGGCAGGUUGACUGCCUUUCUUAAUUGUAGCAAGUUGGGUCUGAAUAUGCAUGAUACGAGCUUUAGAUUGAGAAAAGAAAUGAACGGCAAGAGCUUGCCAAACAACAUGAGAGGUGGUAUAAGAAAUCACUUGAGUGAGAACACCUUCAGUUAUAGAAGAUGUAAGAGUGCUCAGAAUAAGAUUUUCAUGUCGUACCCAAUGAGAAUAAGCAGGAAUUUGAGUGAGUUCUCUAGUAUCGGGAUGUAUAGUAGUAAUAAAUGGUAAGGGAUUCGGAAUUUUUCCGUCAAGAUAUCCAUAUAAUUCUUGUCCACGAAAAUAAGGCACUAAUUGUGCCUUCUGAAGAGGGUAGUUAUCAGCUGUCAGUUUCAUAGAAGAAAUAUUUGGCAUGGGAGAGAUUGUGGUGAGAGAUGGUGGGAUAUUAUCAAUGUUGGUUGUAGAGGAAGAAGAGGUAGCCAUGUGAAGACGUUAGUCUUUUUUUAUAGCUCUGAUACCAUAUGGCAAACAAUAAUUGAGUUGAAGAUGCUAUAUUUUAUUAUCUCUCAACGUCAGAUACAAGGAUAGUUUUUAUAUAGUUGUAGUAUAACAUAAUAGCUAAAUUAUAGUACUUUAAAAUUACUAGAUAAUGAUUAACAUAUCAAGUUACACUAUCUUCCAUAAUCUUCUCCCGCAUAUUUGCUUGUUGGCAGCUACGGCUUUGUGUUGCUGACUUUGUUUCAAACUCAACCUUAUCGUCUGCAUAGCUUGACUCACCAAUUGUUUCUACGUGGAGAGAGAAAUGCUGCUGAACGUUAUCUUCAAAUCUAUCGACAAUAACUAAUAGACACUCGUGCCAUCACAGCUAUUGAAGGUGUUUCAGAGAAAUGUCUUUCUUGGCUGUCUGUCUUCUGUACUGCGCAUGUACCCGCAGGUCUGUAAUGGUGACAAUAUCUUAAUAUCUUUAGAUACUGUUCCUGGCACCUUCUUGAAGAAAAAGCAUCUCCGUGUGAUGAUGUAUUAAUGUGGCUAGUGGUGAGAACUGGCAGUAGGGCAUGACCAUGUGAGCUUCAUUCAUGGUAGUCUUUCCGGAAAGUUCAAUUAUUGAACUUGUGAAAAUCAGGAUGUCAUAUAUGCUGAGUUAAAGUCUCUGUGUUUCCAAUUCCCCUACGAGCUAUGAUACCAGUACCUUUUCUCAUUACCUGUGGAUUGAGGUUCUUUGCUACCACUCUCAGGUUCUAUACUACUUAUUGCAGAGAGAUCUGGCAUGCAGGUAUAGACUUUAAACUGAGGAUGUCAGCUCAAUUCCAUUAAAUUCCACUCCAGUAUUUAUUUAUUUUUCCCAAGAAAAUGUUUCGAGGUAUUGUAUUGAUUUGAAUUUGAUGAAAAAGAUCCAUAUCUGAAUCAAAAAUUCAUGUACAGGACAUGCUUUUAACACACAGAAUUUCAUUUUUAAAGCUUGUCCUGAUGCACAGAAAAAAAUAGAAGAUAUCUGUUUAUUUUUUUAUU